ACGAACGCUGGCGGCGUGCCUAAUACAUGCAAGUCGAGCGGACCAUGAGAAGUUUACUUUCUUCUUGGUUAGCGGCGGACGGGUGAGUAACACGUGGGCAACCUGCCUAUAAGACUGGGAUAACUUCGGGAAACCGGAGCUAAUACCGGAUAAUAUAAAAGAUCACAUGGUCUUUUAUUGAAAGAUGGCUUCGGCUGUCACUUAUAGAUGGGCCCGCGGCGCAUUAGCUAGUUGGUGAGGUAAUGGCUCACCAAGGCGACGAUGCGUAGCCGACCUGAGAGGGUGAUCGGCCACACUGGGACUGAGACACGGCCCAGACUCCUACGGGAGGCAGCAGUAGGGAAUCUUCCGCAAUGGACGAAAGUCUGACGGAGCAACGCCGCGUGAGCGAUGAAGGCCUUCGGGUCGUAAAGCUCUGUUGUUAGGGAAGAACAAGUAUCAUUCGAAUAGGGCGGUACCUUGACGGUACCUAACCAGAAAGCCACGGCUAACUACGUG
This 498-nucleotide ribosomal RNA is filed under the name uncultured bacterium. Its description in RNAcentral is "bacterial SSU rRNA". It matches the Rfam family "Bacterial small subunit ribosomal RNA", at positions 29 to 507 of the family's 1533-position model. The record is from RNAcentral.